GAAAUACAUUGGUUUGGUUCAGAAAGGCGGGACAACUCAAAGUGGCGGGGGGUGGUGGGUGGGUAGUGGGGGUGGCUUCCAGGAUAUAGGUAAAUAUUUAAACAUUUUCUGGUUGACAAUUGGUUGAGUGUGUCUAAAGGCCCAGGAUCAAUAGAAAGGAAUGUUUGGGUUGCGAUAAGAGGUUGUGGAGACAAAAGUUUUAUCACAUAGAUGAAGCUUUUAGCUAGCAGGCUUCAGAGUGAACAGGCUGUAAAAUGUUUCUUAUCAGACCUAAAGUCUGAUUGAUGUUCACGCUGGAGAGGUAUAAUGAAGCGUGUCCGACCUUGCCUUUCCUUCAUGGCCUGAAAAUUUCAGGUUAAAAUUUUAAGAGCCUCGGCUAAGGAGGAACCAUCCAUUUAGAUGGUUGGCGGGGGUAGGGGAGGGGGAGGCUUAGAAUUUUAUUUUGCUGGAUCAUAUGGCAGUUCUACGUUCAAGUUUUUGAGGAACCACAGUGCUGUUUUAUAUAGUGGUUGCACCAUUUUGCAUUCCCACCAGCAGUGCACAGGGUUCCUAUUUCUCCACAUCCUUGCCAAUGUUUGUUAUUUUCUUUCAUUUUUUUUCUUUUUUGAGAUGGAGUUUCACUUGUCUUGUCACCCAGGCCGGAGUACAAUGGUGCUAAUUCGGCUCACUGUAACCUCUGCCCCUCGGGUUCAAGUGAUUCUCCUGCUUCAGACUCCUGAGUAGCUGGGAUUACAGGCACUCGUAACAAUGCCCAACGAAUUUUUAUAUUUUUAGUAGAGACAGGGUUUUGCCAUGUUGGCCAGGCUGGUCUUGAACUCCUGACCUCAGUUGAUCUGCCCACCUUGGCCUCCCAAAGUGCUAGGAUUACAGGUGUGAGCCACUGCACUCAGCCAUUUUCUGUUUUUUGAUAGUAGCCAUUCUAAUGGGUGUAAGGUGACAUUUCAUUGUGGUUUUGAUUUGCAUUUCCCCAAAGAUCAGUGAUGGUGAGCAUCUUUUCAUGUGCUUAUUGACCAUUUGUAGAUCAUCUUUGGAGAAACAUCUAUCCAAUUCUUUGCCUUUUUUUUUUUUUUUUUUUUUUUUAAGACAGGGUCUCAC
Molecule: long non-coding RNA, 1095 nt
Filed under: Pan troglodytes (chimpanzee)
Lineage: Eukaryota; Metazoa; Chordata; Mammalia; Primates; Hominidae
Description: long non-coding RNA NONPTRT001457
Source: RNAcentral